UACGAAGGGGGCUAGCGUUGCUCGGAAUCACUGGGCGUAAAGGGUGCGUAGGCGGGUCUUUUAAGUCAGGGGUGAAAUCCUGGAGCUCAACUCCAGAACUGCCUUUGAUACUGAAGAUCUUGAGUUCGGGAGAGGUGAGUGGAACUGCGAGUGUAGAGGUGAAAUUCGUAGAUAUUCGCAAGGACACCAGUGGCGAAGGCGGCUCACUGGCCCGAUACUGACGCUGAUGCACGAAAGCGUGGGGAGCAAACAGG
Molecule: ribosomal RNA, 254 nt
Filed under: uncultured bacterium
Lineage: Bacteria
Description: partial 16S ribosomal RNA
Rfam family: Bacterial small subunit ribosomal RNA
Source: RNAcentral